UGCGCAUUUGAUCAGUCGCGGCGCCUUCGAUAGGCUACAAUGCAGCACAAUGUAUCACAAUAAUUCGACCUGAUGUGACAGGCGGAACAAUCGACCUGAUGUGACAGGCGGAACAAAUGCGUGUCGCACUUGGUUCCAGUCGGCCAGCCCAUUCAAAGCGCGGCUGGCUUGACCGCAGUGGCCAGCCCCCUUGGAGCAGACGGUUACCGUUUCGUUUCUUUCGUCUCAAUUGAGUUCCAAUGGGGUCGCUGUGUCCAUUUCUUUUACUGUCUAUGUUUCUGUUUCUGUUGGACGUGUCGGAUUAGAGAACCGAGGAGCAGAUGAUACUGCGCAUGGUAUCUGAUUCUUUUGAUGAUUUAUUCUGAACUGAUUCUGUGCUAGUGUUAUGAGCGCUGGUAAACCGAAGACUUGAAUGAAGGGCAGUAAUCGCGAAUGACAUUACAUCGAGCGCAAAAGAACCGGUGAACCGUUUUUUUUUCCAACUGGUUUCAUUUGAUCGAAUUGUCCGAAACAACCGGUUCACUUGAGCACCUGCUCCUUUGCCCCUUAAGUGACCCUUUGUCAAAGCAAAAUUUCCUCGAAUUUUUUUUGUGUGAUAACAUUUCCUUUUGUGAAUGCCUGCCCACGCCCAAUCAUAAUAUUAGUACAAUUUAUUAAUAAUAAUUUAGCCGUAAAUAAAAUGACCAACAUGAUGAUCUCAUGACCCCAUCAGACUGGGAGUAUUCCUCACGAGCAUUUUUUAAUUGCUAAAGGACAUUUUCAACACUGUGGCAGCUGGUAAGGUGUUUCAUUCUUAGCGAAGUGAUUCUGAUGUUUAUUUACUUAUUAUUAUUUUACAAGAACGAUGUGAUGUGAGAACAUGCAGAUAUGUUGUUUAUAUUGCUGUGUGUAGCCUGUAGUGUAGAAGUAACACUAGCGUGCUGUUUGAGGGAGAAAAGUUUCACAGGCAUCGAAGGGUCUGGUCUUUUUUAUGUUAUUUGACUAAAUUCUUAUUAUAUUACAGUACUUAUUUAUUUUUUAACACAUAGAGUGCCUAAAAAAUAAUUAUCACAACACUGGUAAGGAUUAUUCAGAUUUUCUCAUUCUCUGAAUUAUCAUUAUAAAAAUAAAAACAAUUCAGAAAUGAAUUAAAAUAUAAUUAUAUUUUAAAUGUGACGCAAAUAUAUAUUUUUUCUACAAUAGCAACAGUGUUUACCACAGCAAGUCCACUUUAGCCUGUAAACUUAAUAAUAUCUCACUGGAAAUAAAUGUAAAAAUAUCAAUGUAAAAAAAAAUAAUAUACCUGACAUCAAAGUGCACUGUGUAGGAUAUGAAUAACAAAUGUAGCCCGUCAUUUGUUUACAUUGCAAAGGUGUUCGAUUUUAGACAACAACUACAACAGUAAUAAAAAUAUGAAUCACUAUAUUCCAGUGUAUCAUUUUUUUAAUGUUUUGAAUCAAUAUUUAAAGUGGACUUAUUAAUUAGGUGCAAGAGCAGUAGUGAUGGUUAAAAUAAUAGAUUAAUGCUGAAAUAGUCAAUUGAGCCUUGUUCCUAGAUGGACAGAGAGUGGAAAGUAAUAGAUCAAAUGAGGAGAUGGAGACAGAGGAAGAAAAAGAGGGAAAUGUAGAGGCACAAGUGACAGAAAGAGAGCAGGGAAAGGCAAGCCAGGAGACAGAGGCUGGUGAGAAAGAGGAAAAUGUAGAGGCACAAGUGUUUUCUAUAGUUUUACUAUAACAGCUGUUCUUAAUUAUUCUGUAGAACAGAGAAGAAAAAGCCAUCAGGUAGGGACAAUUUAAUACAUUUCAGUUUCUAAUCCCAGAGCUAUUAUUAUUUUAAACUUAAAAUUGUCUUCUCUAUUGUUUCUUUUUCAGAACUGCAUCAAAGCAUUUGUAAAAUAUAUUGCUGUAUUGAUAUUUUGAGAAGCACCAUUUAAAGCCUUGUUCCAUGUGCCCCUUUUAUACUUUGACCACCUGCCCCUCCAAAGGUCUCUGCAUGGCCCUGUUCAGAGGGACUGUCAGCCACGUUAAAAAAGUUAACCGCUUAAGUCAUUUGUGGAUUAAUGCGUAUUGGUGACACGAACAAUUUAAAGCGCCAACCCUUUAAAGUUUGAGCAUAUUGUUUGCAAACUGCAAUUGAUUAAUUAAAAACAAAGUAGUUGAUAUGCUGUGUUGUUUUUGUUGUUUAGUAGCAGUAAUAUACAGUUAUUAACCGUGUCCACUGUAUUUUUUGUUGGUUUUCAUGAGACCCCCCUUGAAAUGACCAGGACCCCCCAUUGCCCCCCCAAUCAAAAUUGUCUGGAGCCGCCACUGGGAGUUCUGUCAAGCAAUGGAUCCGAGGUUUGAUUAUUUAUUGUUUAUGUCAAGGAAAAGUUCCAGGGGCGUCGCACCCGUGGGGGAUACACCCACACUUUUCACGGUGAGAGGGUUCAACACCCGCACGUUUUCUGCAGUUUUUCCGCAGUAUUGCACAAACGCCUUACUACAGUCGCUCCUCCGUUUCUCUGGCCACUCUGUGUGUACACUCGCUGCGGCUGCCUCCUCUCUGCCUCCCUCUCAAACAUGACACCGGCUUUGAGUGUGACCAGCUGAUGAUUGGCUGUUCUGCCUUAAGUCCCGCCUCUCUUGGGGUGUUAUCGGUCAGCUCAUGCUGAGGAGGCGGGAACUUAUGGUUAUGGUUAUUUACAUCUCCCUUUUCAAGGUACUUUGAAUGAGUGUUUGUGCUUUCGAGGUUUUUAAAUAAGCUUGAUAUGUGUUUGGGAAGAUGUUUUGUUGACAUGUCGAGUGUUUUCGGUAUUAUAUUUAUUAUUUUUUAGACUUAUGCUAAUUGCUAUUAUUGGGAUAUUGUUCAGCAGCUAGCUAAAUUUGGUUAUGUAACGUUAAGUGGCAUGCAAUGUAUAACAUAACUGUGAUGAAGAAGGCAGGGAAUUGAAAAGGAGGGGGGACAAACUGCCAUUGUUAAGCAGUGUAUUCAUGGGUUCAUUGCCAGUGCAACUGAUUUUGAUAUUUUGAGCAUUGUUUGUUGAUUAGCUGAAAACUUUUGUGGAUACUUACCUGUUGUGUUUGAUUGUAACGUUACCUGUUGAGGAGAAAAAAGUGAGAAAUGCUGACAUUGUUUCCAUACCUGUUGAAGAACUAUGAAAGAAAAGUCUAUAUUAUUUUAAUGUUUAAAAACAGUAAAUUGUUACAUUAUUUAUACCACUAGAGAAAAAGCUUUUUGUGGGCGUUUUUUUUCUCCCCUUUUCAGGGCGCAAGUAAGCAAAAUUUAGCAGUCACAGUCCUGUCAGACCCAUGUCACUAUCAAGCUUACCACUGUCUUUUUGUCACGCAGUAUCAUUAAAAUGCAAAAAAGAAAGUGGCAGGAGAAAAGAUUGACACCUUUUUCAAGAGAAAUCAUGUUUUUUUCAAACACAGCUGGAACUGUUUGUCCCUAUUCCUUUACCACUGCCCAUUAUUACCACUUUAGGAGAGGAAGUUGCUGGAGGCAUCAGUUUCAGAGAGAGCACAGGAAGGUUCACAGGUGUCUGAUCAUCACAACACUAUCCUUGAUGUGCCAGUGGGGAUCUUAUUCGGGGACACAGCCCCCCAACAGAUCUUCAGCCCCCCAACUCCUUGCACUUGACUUCUUCUAUUGGAAUAAUUCUUGAAGGCCAAGUGGUGAUGGAAAAAUGUGGGACCUCCCACAGGCCAUCUGUCAUCUCUUCGGUUUGAUUUAUGCACUAGACCUGAAUUACCCAAAAUCACUGACCAACACGUUUGAUUUCAUCCAGCAUGUACUAAUGACAAUGGGAUAGAUUGCUCUCAAGCCUAGAGUUCAGUCUCUAGCAAACCAGCUUUUUGCUUAAGAAACGUCUCUCUGUGAUACUUUAACACCACCCUUUGUAUUGGGAUUUAUCCACCAAUCAAAUUACUCCAUUAUCCAUUUAUGAAAAAUAAAAAGUAUGUUUAAAUAUUUAAAUGCACAGAGUUCUACAAUUGAUGUGCAGUAUUUAAAUUGGGAUAUUGUUACCAUUGUUACACCUCUGUAGUUUGGUUGUGACCUGGUAAUAUUUUAAUUACAGUAUAGUUUGUACUGUAAUGUUAUGACAUUUGGGCCAAAGACAAGUUCAGUAUGCAUUAUUUUAGUUUGCCGUGUUUGCACAAAGCUUAAAUGGUGAACUGUAGUAAGACUGUAGUUAUGUUUAGCUUACAUGUUCAGUACAUUAACAAUUGUGAGGCAUAAAAAGUGUAAGUGCAAAGAGUCAUACAAAUGAUGUAAGUGCACUAGUUAAUGUUUUACUGUUUACAUUUUUACUGUUGUUACCAACUUUACAGUGUGGUUGUGACCCAGUAAUAUUUCCACUACAGUUUGUACUGUAAUACUGUGAAACUUUGGUGAAAGAUACUGUUGAGUAUGUUUUAUUUUAGUUUGCUAUGUUUGCACAAAGCUUAAACGGUCAAAACUAAUUAUGUUUACAUUGACAUAAUUGUGAUACAUGAUUGAUGGGUAACACUUUAUAAUAACUGCACACUAUUAAUCAUUACUUAAGCAUUAGUCAACAGAAAAUUCAUAAUUUAUAAAGCAUUAAUAGACAGUAAUAAGCAGUUUAUAAAUACAGAUAUAAAUGCUUUAUUCUUGAUUUAAAACCAUAUCUAUAAUGUGUUUAAUAAUUGUAUUUUCAUACUUUAUUCAUGAUCAAUUUAUCAUUUCUCAAUGAAGUAUAGCAUUAUGUACAAACCAGUUAUUUAGGAGUUGCCAGUGAUUCAUAAGAUCACAAGAAAUGUAGUAAAUUCAGGUCAGUUAACGGUCAGUUAACUAUUUAUGUGAGCUCAUUUAAAGUGAGGACUAGUCUGUUCCGUAUUGCUCUGUGUAACUGGGAAAUGUUUUAAUAUAUAGUAGCACAGCACAUGUAGAGCAGCUAUUGCGUUCCAUAAAAGAAGGGAACUCAGAUAAAACACAGCUUUAUUAGGGGUGUCUGUGUGUGGCUGGCUGGUGUGUGGCUUUUCUUCUCACUGCAUCAUCUCACACUUCUCUUUUUCUUUAUCACAGGUAGACAACGUCUCCAGAAUGCUGAGAUACAUCCAGCCAAGUGGGGAUGAAGUCAGUUUAGUCCACUGAGACCAAGGACUACCUCACCCAACUCUGACACGCUGACCAGCCACCAUACUGAACUACAUCAAGAACAUGAUCUGGUUUGUUCAGUAUCUGAAGACCCACCUCAACUUGGCUGCAGCAGAUGCUGACUUCUACAGGAAGAGCCAAGCCUACAUCGACCUCCUCGGUUCCCUCAGAAAGCCAGUGGCGAAGUCGAACAGCAAGGUCGCUUGUAAAACCAGGUAUGACCGGUUCCUUGAGGGUGAGAUGAGGCUUCAGGAGUGCCAGGCAGUCCUCCGGAAGGCCAAGGCUGCUGAAAGACAACAGAGUGGGAUGAAAGAAAAAAUUCUGGGGGAAAGGUGUGUGUGGCUGUCAGCGAACACAAGACUGCGACAAUGCAGAUCACUGUGUUUGCCCUGACAAUGGAGGAGGGAGCAAUCCUGGACACAUACUACACCUGGAUCCACCCUUACUGCAUCCGGCCAGAUGUAGGUCAUGGAAACAGGUUAUUUGUUUCUUCAUCGGGCACAAAGAUCAGGAGUGCAACCAAUGACCUCUCUCGUCUGCACGCACGUGUGCCCAAUAUCAAAAGCCAGCAGAUACGCAGGACCGUUGAGACAGAAGUGGCUGCAAACUUCACAGAGGAGCAGAAGGCAUCGGUCACACACUACAUGGCCCAUUCGACGGCAGUGGGAAAUCAACACUACAGAAUGGUCUCCGAAGAGGGCAGAUUUGCUGCUGAAUCAUAGGCCUGGCUCUCUCUUCAACAUGAUCACAUUUACUUCAGUGAUAAUAUAUAACCUAGAUUCAGGCUUUUCACUGGAGACUAACAUUGUUAAUUUUGAAACUUGUGGCGCCUCUCAGGGUACUGUUGAGUUAGGCCUAAAUUUGUUGUCAAGAACAGACCACAGUUUAGCAAGAUCUAUGUGCCAUUCAUAGUUUUUUAACAAAUUUUUUAUGUAGAUAUGUUGGAAAUUCUAUUCUGUAAUUUAUAUGCCCUUACAUUUCUGGGUGAUCCCAGGAUAAAAUUCUCCCCUGGAGAUUUAUUAUUAACCUGGUUUUUGGGUGAUCCCUAGAUAAAAUUCUCCCCAGGUGACCUGAUCUCACCGAAGAGGGCAGAUUUGCUGCUGACUCAUAGGCCUGGGUAAAAUGUAAUUAUUUAUUUUAUGUUUUUAUUGCACUUCCUGUGUAUGUAAAUAUAUAUUUGCUCCAUUUCAUAUGUAGCACAUAAUUAAAAUUGUUGAGCCAGGACUUGUGGGGCAGAGGAAAUUUUACUCCGUAAUUUAUAGUUUUAAAGCACUGGCCUUGCAUUUCUGGGUGAUCCCAGGAUAAAAUUUAAAUCCCCCGGUGAUUUAUUGUUAACCUGAUUUUACCGAAGAGGGCAGAUUUGCUGCUGACUCAUAGGCCUGGAUAAAAUGUAUUUAUAUUUUAUGUUGUUAUUGCACUACCCGUGUAUGUAAAUAUUAAUUUGUUCCUUUUCAUAUGUAGCACAUAAUUAGUAUCAUGUUUGAAAAAUUUUCUACAACCUAAUUGGUCGAUCUGUUGGACAACAUCGCUACACAAGUGGAGCUCUCUGACUGAAAAAGAUCUGACCAAGCAGAUUCUGGAGCUCUCUAAGGAGCUGAACAGAGGGACACUAUGUCCGAUUGUGACCUUUUUGGGCUAAUGAAGCAGAUGAUGGUGAGAUGAAUAUAGGCAUCGAAUAAAUAAAAAAAACCUGGGGAAAUGCUCUGGCCUCCUGAAUACAGACAGCCGGGACCUGCGGAGAGAAAAGCAGUGCAACCACGCUGUCAUUGCUUAAUUUUUGUUCUUGUUUAAGGUUCUGGGGUUGACAUAUUCUUUUAACUGCUGCUAUUUAAAUUUCUUUCUUUUUUCAGUCUCUGCCAGUUCAUCAGUUUUGUUCUUGUUGUCAUUCUAUUUAUUGUUAAUUUUUAAGCUGUGCUUUGUUGUUUAUAGUUCCUUCGUGUUGCCAGAAUAAAAUGUGCUACAGA
Carassius gibelio (silver crucian carp) is the source of this 7040-nucleotide long non-coding RNA. RefSeq lists it as uncharacterized. Lineage: Eukaryota; Metazoa; Chordata; Actinopteri; Cypriniformes; Cyprinidae. The record is from RefSeq and is a predicted model, not a curated record. The transcript is spliced from 7 exons.